Molecule: ribosomal RNA, 785 nt
Filed under: uncultured Glomus
Lineage: Eukaryota; Fungi; Glomeromycota; Glomeromycetes; Glomerales; Glomeraceae
Description: SSU rRNA
Rfam family: Eukaryotic small subunit ribosomal RNA
Source: RNAcentral
AUGGUAGGAUAGAGGCCUACCAUGGUGGUAACGGGUAACGGGGUGUUAGGGCACGACACCGGAGAGGGAGCCUGAGAAACGGCUACCACAUCCAAGGAAGGCAGCAGGCGCGCAAAUUACCCAAUCCCGACACGGGGAGGUAGUGACAAUAAAUAACAAUACAGGGUUCUUUGAAUCUUGUAAUUGGAAUGAGUACAAUUUAAAUCUCUUAACGAGGAACAAUUGGAGGGCAAGUCUGGUGCCAGCAGCCGCGGUAAUUCCAGCUCCAAUAGCGUAUAUUAAAGUUGUUGCAGUUAAAAAGCUCGUAGUUGAAUUUCGGGAUCAAUACGUCGGUCGUGCUUUCGGGUACGUACUGGCGUCAUUGGUUUCUCCUUUCUGACGAACCAUGAUGUCAUUAAUUUGGUGUUAUGGGGAGUUAGGACUGUUACUUUGAAAAAAUUAGAGUGUUUAAAGCAGGCAUUAGCUUGAAUACAUUAGCAUGGAAUAAUGAAAAAGGACGUUCGAUCCUAUUUUGUUGGUUUCUAGGAUCAACGUAAUGAUUAAUAGGGAUAGUUGGGGGCAUUAGUAUUCAAUUGUCAGAGGUGAAAUUCUUGGAUUUAUUGAAGACUAACUACUGCGAAAGCAUUUGCCAAGGAUGUUUUCAUUAAUCAAGAACGAAAGUUAGGGGAUCGAAGACGAUCAGAUACCGUCGUAGUCUUAACCAUAAACUAUGCCGACUAGGGAUCGGAUGAUGUUAAUUUUUUAAUGACUCAUUCGGCGCCUUACGGGAAACCAAAGUGUUUGGG